Molecule: ribosomal RNA, 388 nt
Filed under: uncultured bacterium
Lineage: Bacteria
Description: bacterial SSU rRNA
Rfam family: Bacterial small subunit ribosomal RNA
Source: RNAcentral
GACGAACGCUGGCGGCGUGCUUAACACAUGCAAGUCGAGCGGUAAGGCCCUUUCGGGGGUACACGAGCGGCGAACGGGUGAGUAACACGUGGGUGACCUGCCUUUAGCUCUGGGAUAAGCCUGGGAAACCGGGUCUAAUACCGGAUAUGACUCCGCGGCGCAUGUUGUGGGGUGGAAAGCCUUGUGCGGCUGGAGAUGGGCCCGCGGCCUAUCAGCUUGUUGGUGGGGUGAUGGCCUACCAAGGCGACGACGGGUAGCCGGCCUGAGAGGGCGACCGGCCACACUGGGACUGAGACACGGCCCAGACUCCUACGGGAGGCAGCAGUGGGGAAUCUUGCGCAAUGGGGCGAAAGCCUGACGCAGCGACGCCGCGUGAGGGAUGACGGCC